ACUGCUCAGUAACACGUGGACAACCUGCCCUCAGGACGGGGAUAAACCCGGGAAACUGGGUAUAAUACCCGAUAGGUCUCGAAUGCUGGAAUGCAUCGAGGUCUAAAGCUCCGGCGCCUAAGGAUGGGUCUGCGGCCUAUCAGGUAGUAGUGGGUGUAGUGUACCUACUAGCCUACGACGGGUACGGGUCGUGAGAGCAAGAGCCCGGAGAUGGAUUCUGAGACACGAAUCCAGGCCCUACGGGGUGCAGCAGGCGCGAAAACUUUACAAUGCUGGAAACAGCGAUAAGGGAACCUCGAGUGCCAGGUUACAAAUCUGGCUGUCGUGAUGCCUAAAAAGCAUUGCAUAGCAAGGGCCGGGCAAGACCGGUGCCAGCCGCCGCGGUAACACCGGCGGCUCGAGUGGUAACCGUUAUUAUUGGGUCUAAAGGGUCUGUAGCCGGCCGGAUAAGUCUCUUGAGAAAUCUGGCAGCUUAACUGUCAGGCUUUCAGGAGAUACUGUCUGGCUCGAGGCCGGGAGAGGUGAGAGGUACUUCAGGGGUAGGGGUGAAAUCUUGUAAUCCUUGAAGGACCACCAGUGGCGAAGGCGUCUCACCAGAACGGACCUGACGGCAAGGGACGAAAGCUAGGGGCACGAACCGGAUUAGAUACCCGGGUAGUCCUAGCCGUAAACGAUACUCGCUGGGUGUCGGCCACGGUGCGACCGUUGUCGGUGCCGUAGGGAAGCCGUGAAGCGAGCCACCUGGGAAGUACGGCCGCAAGGCUGAAACUUAAAGGAAUUGGCGGGGGAGCACCACAACGGGUGGAGCUUGCGGUUUAAUUGGAUUCAACGCCGGG
RNAcentral lists this ribosomal RNA (836 nucleotides) under uncultured archaeon. RNAcentral describes it as "bacterial SSU rRNA". It matches the Rfam family "Archaeal small subunit ribosomal RNA", at positions 85 to 922 of the family's 1478-position model. The record is from RNAcentral.